UACAGAGGGUGCGAGCGUUAAUCGGAAUUACUGGGCGUAAAGCGCGCGUAGGCGGCUUUGCAAGUCGGGUGUGAAAUCCCCAGGCUUAACCUGGGAACUGCAUUCGAGACUGCAUUGCUAGAGUAUGGGAGAGGGAAGUGGAAUUUCCGGUGUAGCGGUGAAAUGCGUAGAUAUCGAGAGGAACACCUGCGGCGAAGGCGGGUUGCUGGGCUGAUACUGACGCUGAGGCGCGAAAGCCAGGGGAGCGAACGGG
Molecule: ribosomal RNA, 253 nt
Filed under: uncultured bacterium
Lineage: Bacteria
Description: partial 16S ribosomal RNA
Rfam family: Bacterial small subunit ribosomal RNA
Source: RNAcentral